GAAUAUUGCGCAAUGGGCGAAAGCCUGACGCAGCGACGCCGCGUGAGGGAUGAAGGCCUUCGGGUUGUAAACCUCUUUCAGCAGGGACGAAGCGAGAGUGACGGUACCUGCAGAAGAAGCACCGGCCAACUACGUGCCAGCAGCCGCGGUAAGACGUAGGGUGCAAGCGUUGUCCGGUAUUAUUGGGCGUAAAGAGCUCGUAGGCGGUCGGUCGCGUCGGCUGUGAAAUCUCGGGGCUCAACCCCGAGCCUGCAGUCGAUACGGGCAGACUAGAGUGCUGUAGGGGAGACUGGAAUUCCUGGUGUAGCGGUGAAAUGCGCAGAUAUCAGGAGGAACACCGGUGGCGAAGGCGGGUCUCUGGGCAGUAACUGACGCUGAGGAGCGAAAGCGUGGGGAGCAAACAAG
This 405-nucleotide ribosomal RNA is filed under the name uncultured bacterium. Its description in RNAcentral is "bacterial SSU rRNA". It matches the Rfam family "Bacterial small subunit ribosomal RNA", at positions 359 to 776 of the family's 1533-position model. The record is from RNAcentral.